UACGUAGGGGGCAAGCGUUAUCCGGAAUUACUGGGUGUAAAGGGAGAGUAGGCGGCAAGGUAAGCGAUAUGUGAAAGCCUUAGGCUUAACCUGAGGAUUGCGUAACGAACUAUCUAGCUAGAGUACAGGAGAGGAAAGCGGAAUUCCUAGUGUAGCGGUGAAAUGCGUAGAUAUUAGGAAGAACACCAGUGGCGAAGGCGGCUUUCUGGACUGAAACUGACGCUGAGGCUCGAAAGCGUGGGGAGCGAACAGG
This 253-nucleotide ribosomal RNA is filed under the name uncultured bacterium. RNAcentral describes it as "partial 16S ribosomal RNA". It matches the Rfam family "Bacterial small subunit ribosomal RNA", at positions 524 to 776 of the family's 1533-position model. The record is from RNAcentral.